Long non-coding RNA from Bombus pascuorum, 932 nucleotides. RefSeq lists it as uncharacterized. The transcript is spliced from 4 exons. The record is from RefSeq and is a predicted model, not a curated record. Lineage: Eukaryota; Metazoa; Arthropoda; Insecta; Hymenoptera; Apidae.
GGUACUGUAAUUACGGAAAGAGAGAAGGUACCUGGGAUGUAAUACUUGAAUCUCAGGAAGAAGUAAGAAGAUUUGCAGAUGCAUUAAUACUUGUUGCAAAAUUUUAUAAAUUCGAUUUUAUAAGUCUGGUUGUUAAAUAUUGAAAAUACCAUUAAAAAGAUUUCUUUUUAAACUGCGAUGGCAUUUACUUGAAUUAUAACUGGACGAAAUCAAAAUUGGAAAACGGUUUGGCACUUGCAAAAAAUCACAGCAGAGAUAUUCAUGAUAUUUAUGUAGGACUUGAUAUUUGGGGAAGAUGUUGUCCUGGUGGUGGUGGAUUUAAUUCAACAUAUGCUUUACCAAAAAUACGACACUAAGGACUUUCUGUCGCGCUUUUUGGUCCAGGUUGGACUCACGAAUUUUUCGUAUCUAAGACAUUCCAAGAAAUAGAAGAUCUAUUUUGGGCACAGUUGUUUCCUUAUUUAUAUGUUCAUGUACCUAUCUACGAAGAAGAAGUAUUCAAAACAUCAUUUUGCCGUGGCAGUGGUAGCUUGUAUUAUCGCUGUGGUCAGGCACUAUAUGAAAAGGAUGGGAAAAGAUUUAAACACAAAUCAUUUUACAAUUUAUCCCUGCAAAAUCCACAAAUAUCAGUACCUAUACCGCACAUGAAAUUUACAUCAUCGCCUCAACUUCCAGAACCGAAAAGUGAAAACGAUCGAAAUGAGUGUUCAAAAGAACCGAUACAAUAUGUUUAUGAAACGAGGAAGAAUGUUAUUCGAGUAUUAAAAAAUGUUGUAAAUAUUGAAAAUAAAAUGCCAAUGCAUCGAACUGUCAGAAUUUGAUAUCUUUGUCCACGGGGAUAAGACCACUGAGACAACAGUAACAACAUAGAGAUCGUCCUCCAGACCAUAAAUAAUAAUAAUCUUUAAAAUUGCUACAGGACAAACACCGAA